This 1133-nucleotide ribosomal RNA is filed under the name Penicillium sp. RNAcentral describes it as "SSU rRNA". It matches the Rfam family "Eukaryotic small subunit ribosomal RNA", at positions 56 to 1200 of the family's 1831-position model. Lineage: Eukaryota; Fungi; Ascomycota; Eurotiomycetes; Eurotiales; Aspergillaceae. The record is from RNAcentral.
UGUCUAGUAUAAGCACUUGUACUGUGAAACUGCGAAUGGCUCAUUAAAUCAGUUAUCGUUUAUUUGAUAGUACCUUACUACAUGGAUACCUGUGGUAAUUCUAGAGCUAAUACAUGCUAAAAACCCCGACUUCAGGAAGGGGUGUAUUUAUUAGAUAAAAAACCAACGCCCUUCGGGGCUCCUUGGUGAAUCAUAAUAACUUAACGAAUCGCAUGGCCUUGCGCCGGCGAUGGUUCAUUCAAAUUUCUGCCCUAUCAACUUUCGAUGGUAGGAUAGUGGCCUACCAUGGUGGCAACGGGUAACGGGGAAUUAGGGUUCGAUUCCGGAGAGGGAGCCUGAGAAACGGCUACCACAUCCAAGGAAGGCAGCAGGCGCGCAAAUUACCCAAUCCCGAUACGGGGAGGUAGUGACAAUAAAUACUGAUACGGGGCUCUUUUGGGUCUCGUAAUUGGAAUGAGAACAAUUUAAAUCCCUUAACGAGGAACAAUUGGAGGGCAAGUCUGGUGCCAGCAGCCGCGGUAAUUCCAGCUCCAAUAGCGUAUAUUAAAGUUGUUGCAGUUAAAAAGCUCGUAGUUGAACCUUGGGUCUGGCUGGCCGGUCCGCCUCACCGCGAGUACUGGUCCGGCUGGACCUUUCCUUCUGGGGAACCUCAUGGCCUUCACUGGCUGUGGGGGGAACCAGGACUUUUACUGUGAAAAAAUUAGAGUGUUCAAAGCAGGCCUUUGCUCGAAUACAUUAGCAUGGAAUAAUAGAAUAGGACGUGUGGUUCUAUUUUGUUGGUUUCUAGGACCGCCGUAAUGAUUAAUAGGGAUAGUCGGGGGCGUCAGUAUUCAGCUGUCAGAGGUGAAAUUCUUGGAUUUGCUGAAGACUAACUACUGCGAAAGCAUUCGCCAAGGAUGUUUUCAUUAAUCAGGGAACGAAAGUUAGGGGAUCGAAGACGAUCAGAUACCGUCGUAGUCUUAACCAUAAACUAUGCCGACUAGGGAUCGGACGGGAUUCUAUAAUGACCCGUUCGGCACCUUACGAGAAAUCAAAGUUUUUGGGUUCUGGGGGGAAUAUGGUCGCAAGGCUGAAACUUAAAGAAAUUGACGGAAGGGCACCCCAAGGCGUGGAGCCUGCGGCUUAAUUUGACU